This 468-nucleotide ribosomal RNA is filed under the name uncultured bacterium. RNAcentral's name for it is "partial 16S ribosomal RNA". It matches the Rfam family "Bacterial small subunit ribosomal RNA", at positions 28 to 507 of the family's 1533-position model. The record is from RNAcentral.
GACGAACGCUGGCGGUGUGCUUAACACAUGCAAGUCGAACGGAAAGGCCCUGCUUUUGUGGGGUGCUCGAGUGGCGAACGGGUGAGUAACACGUGAGUAACCUGCCCUUGACUUUGGGAUAACUUCAGGAAACUGGGGCUAAUACCGGAUAGGAGCUCCUGCUGCAUGGUGGGGGUUGGAAAGUUUCGGCGGUUGGGGAUGGACUCGCGGCUUAUCAGCUUGUUGGUGGGGUAGUGGCUUACCAAGGCUUUGACGGGUAGCCGGCCUGAGAGGGUGACCGGCCACAUUGGGACUGAGAUACGGCCCAGACUCCUACGGGAGGCAGCAGUGGGGAAUAUUGCACAAUGGGCGGAAGCCUGAUGCAGCAACGCCGCGUGCGGGAUGACGGCCUUCGGGUUGUAACCCGCUUUCGCCUGUGACGAAGCGUGAGUGACGGUAAUGGGUAAAGAAGCACCGGCUAACUACGUG